AAUCUCCAAGACACUAACUUUCAUCAAGGGGAAAAGCAGGACACUUACAGUGAAAUUUUCUAAAGGUUAUUUAUUAAAUUCAUAAGUAUUUUUUAAACACCUAUGACAUGAGGGACAUGUGCUAGUUACUAAAUGUUGAAGCGAUGAACAGCAAAUUCCUUCAUAAAGGUUUGCAGGAAGCCUUUAAAGGACAGUACAAAAAGAAUAACCACUUGGCAUAAGGUCAGUAGUGCUUUGAUUAUCCCUUAUAAUACAAAAAUAUUUACUCACAAGUCUUUAAAUAUUGUGAAUUAUAUGCGCCUCAAAAGAAGAGUAAAUAAGGCAUACUAAAAUACAUUAACACCACUAAUUAUAGGAAACGUGUGUGUUGCACAUGGAAGAGUAUUACAAAUAAUUUUUUUUUUCUUAGCUGUAAUACAAGCUGUUCUAUUAAGAGAGCAUUCA
This 444-nucleotide long non-coding RNA is filed under the name Monodelphis domestica (gray short-tailed opossum). RNAcentral describes it as "lncRNA (ENSMODG00000044222.1)". The record is from RNAcentral. Lineage: Eukaryota; Metazoa; Chordata; Mammalia; Didelphimorphia; Didelphidae.